This 249-nucleotide ribosomal RNA is filed under the name uncultured bacterium. Its description in RNAcentral is "partial 16S ribosomal RNA". It matches the Rfam family "Bacterial small subunit ribosomal RNA", at positions 57 to 305 of the family's 1533-position model. The record is from RNAcentral.
GCAAGUCGAGGGGCAGGUCUGCUUUCGGGCAGAAGCGACCGGCGCACGGGAGCGUAACGCGUAUGCAACCUACCCACAACUAGGGGAUAGCCCGGAGAAAUCCGGAUUAAUACCCCAUAAUGCAUUGAAACCACAUGGUUUUAUUUGCUAAAGAUGCAUUGGUUGGGGAUGGGCAUGCGUCUGAUUAGUUAGUUGGUGAGGUAACGGCUCACCAAGGCAACGAUCAGUAGGGGGUCUGAGAGGAUGAUC